RNAcentral lists this transfer RNA (612 nucleotides) under uncultured Prochlorococcus sp. RNAcentral's name for it is "partial contains 16S ribosomal RNA, 16S-23S ribosomal RNA intergenic spacer, and 23S ribosomal RNA". The stretch from base 227 to 299 matches the Rfam family "tRNA". The record is from RNAcentral. Lineage: Bacteria; Bacillati; Cyanobacteriota; Cyanophyceae; Synechococcales; Prochlorococcaceae.
UGGAUCACCUCCUAACAGGGAGACAACAAAAUGUUUAAUAUUAUUAUUUUGUCACCUUAGGUCGAUCGGUAUCUCACGUUCUUAAUUAAUUAAGAAUUUCAGUUUCUAAGUUUUUCUAGGUCACACCCAUUAUUUUUCCUGGGCCAUUAGCUCAGGUGGUUAGAGCGCACCCCUGAUAAGGGUGAGGUCCCUGGUUCAAGUCCAGGAUGGCCCAUAUCUCUAUGUUGGGGGUAUAGCUCAGUUGGUAGAGCGCCUGCUUUGCAAGCAGGAUGUCAGCGGUUCGAGUCCGCUUACCUCCACUGAUUACCACCUCUUCCAUAACCGGUAUUAAAGGAAAUGUUUUGAGUUGUGAUCAAAUUCUGAAAGAAUCUAGCUUCCUAAUGAAAUCAUUAAGAUGCUGGACUCAUUGAAUUGAUUUCAUUGUUUUCAGAGAACCUUGACAACUGCAUAGAUUAUUUUUAAAGACAAUAAGCAUCUUUAAUGAUGCAGAUUUAUUAUUUGUGCGAAUGCAUUAAUAACAAUUCUAUUAAGCUGAUGCUUCAAUUUUUGAAGUUAUUGGUCAAGCUACAAAGGGCUCACGGAGGAUACCUAGGCACACAGAGGCGAUGAAGG